Alligator sinensis (Chinese alligator) is the source of this 184-nucleotide long non-coding RNA. RefSeq lists it as uncharacterized. The transcript is spliced from 3 exons. The record is from RefSeq and is a predicted model, not a curated record. Lineage: Eukaryota; Metazoa; Chordata; Crocodylia; Alligatoridae.
ACGUGGAGCUCAUCGCCGAGGGGCCGCACUGCCCCGUGCCCGAAGUCAUCGCCACCCUGAAGGACGGCCGCAAGCUCUGCCUCAACCCCGCGGCGCCCUGGGUCCAGCUCAUCAUCAACAAGAUCCUCCAUCGUACGACCCAGAAAAACUGAUGAAGAAAAGGUCUAGAUUCCACUGCAAAGGA